UUGUUGAAAACUUGGAUCCCGUUACUAUAUCUCGAUGAUUUUACUUGAUUUUUGCAGGAUUAAUGACUUUUGACGACCAACAAAUGGCAUUGGGUUGCGAGUACGUACACAUUUUCUCCUCUUCUAAGGUGAAAUGGACAGGAUUUGAGCAAUAGAGGUUAGAUCCUGUUUUUCUUAUGCCUUUAUCUUUCCUUCAUCAGUAAGUUUAUCUUCUAACUUGAUCGUUUCCUUUUUCACUGUUCAGAGAUUUUUCUUUUUUUUUUCAUCUGUUUUGUUGUCUAUUGACAAAGAUAUUAUGUCUGCGUUAUCAUUGAUAAUAGAGUUUAUAAAGUCAAGGGUCAGACGGUAAAAUAAUUUGUUUAUUUAAAAUGUUCAAGCAUCUACCAUUGAGGGAGUAAAAUCCUUGGUUUAUUUACAAUUUUUUUUAUUUAUUACUUUAGUUCAACUAUUCUUCUAUUAAAAGCCUAUAGCUUUGUAUGGAGGAAAUCUGAAAAGUCCUGUAUACUAAUGCCCUUUCAGAAAUAUCUAUUGUAUGUUUGUAGCGGUGAAGACACGUGUUGUUUCAUUUACUCAUGUCGAACCUAAUUUCUCCUCUCUUUCUCUCAUUGAACCUUCUCAAUUAAAUUCCUUGAUCUUCUUUUCUUUUUUUAUUCCUCCCUUUCUCAUGUACAUUUAGGGACUGUGUUCGUCAUUAUCAAAUAUCAACCUUCCUUUCACAAGGAAAGAUAUGAUAUGGACCUUUGUGCAUGUCUACUCUAAUAAAUGAUUUUGCUCUGUUAAUAAAUGAUUGGGCUUUUAAAUCUACCAAAUUGAACUUUUUUCCCUCAACAUUUUGCAGGCUGAAUACAGAUCCAACAAAUGUAUUACCUGUUUUUUCUUGGAAGCAACAUUUAAAUAUAAACAUCAUCAACAAUGAAGAUGUGAAACUAAAAUUUGCUUACUCUUUUUUGGUGUUUAUGAAGGAGAAAGAACUCAACUUUACAUACAGCAACAUGCAAUUUUUUUCCCAAGGUCUUUUAACGUGUCGCACCAACUUUCCUGAACAUUAUGUAUUCAAGCUUUCUGGGCAUAAUUUACUGAUGACUUAAACACUUGG
Molecule: long non-coding RNA, 1096 nt
Organism: Solanum tuberosum (potato)
Lineage: Eukaryota; Viridiplantae; Streptophyta; Magnoliopsida; Solanales; Solanaceae
Exons: 3
Source: RefSeq, a predicted model, not a curated record